AAUUGAAGCCAAAGAAAUGACCCAAGAGUCAAUUUGGGACUUAAAAUCAAGCAUCAACUUUUUUAACAACCUAUAGAAUCUGACUUGAGAUACGGCUUAUGCAGUCCAAGUUCCUUUUGUAACUAGGGGACUCUUUUGCGAUUUUUGCUUAGGCGCUCAUAUAUCAUGAAUCAACACUUGCUUAAGUAAAGAAAGAGGCGCUAAAGCAGACCUUUAUCCCCAACAACCCAAAAUCCAAAUUUCCAAUCUUCUUUUGCACAUAUACCAUAAUACCCUUGGGAAAUAGCAAAAUCUGUAUGAGUUCCAAAAGGAAUUGGGUGAUCUGAUGGUACUUUAGGGUUGCUAGCUUUGGUGGCUCAAACAUUGAUUUGUCUACUUGGGAGGACAAGAAGAACCCUAGUGAAUCUCGUUUUCCUGCUCAGCAUGUUCCUACAAUAAAUGGAGGCAUACCUUCAGUCGCUAAAGCAACGUCGAAGCACCAAAAGCUGUUAGAUAGGUUGUCCAACUAUUCUAAGAGUUGUUUGCUCAAACCAAGUACAAAGAGGUUGUUGAGCUUGCUGCAGAAUCCCCACAAGGCAUACUCCGUACACCAGAUAC
Long non-coding RNA from Capsicum annuum, 597 nucleotides. RefSeq lists it as uncharacterized. The transcript is spliced from 4 exons. The record is from RefSeq and is a predicted model, not a curated record. Lineage: Eukaryota; Viridiplantae; Streptophyta; Magnoliopsida; Solanales; Solanaceae.